Molecule: ribosomal RNA, 669 nt
Filed under: Triticum aestivum (bread wheat)
Lineage: Eukaryota; Viridiplantae; Streptophyta; Magnoliopsida; Poales; Poaceae
Description: partial small subunit ribosomal RNA
Source: RNAcentral
AUGUUAAUUGACAAAACUUGCUGGAAGGGCAAGGAUUUGUCAAAGUCAAAGAAAAAUGACGAAGCAGAGUCUCAGGACAACAUUGAUAUGUUCAAGCUCUACAACUUGAAGCCAGCUUUGCCAACCACCUUUCCCGUGCCAGAUUUUAGCGACCAAGAUAUGUGUGAGAAGAUCAACUUUGCCACUGACAAGAGCCUGUUUUUAUCAAGUGUACCUGAAAAGAAUCAAAUUGACAUGGAGGAAGCAGGAAAGGGUCUUGACUGGGUUCAUUCAAAGGAAAAAUACAAGGAAUAUUUGAAGCAGCUUCCAGACCUAAGCUCCGGCAAGAGGAAGGCAACAUCCAUGGCAAACCCUCAUGUGGUCCAGAAGCGUAAAGCAGUUUCAAUGAAGAAGAAUCGGCAGUUGCCUCAAACCAAGGAGAAGAUGGUGAGUGCAGAUGCUGAAGUAAAUAUGGUCAAGGAAGUUAUGCUUCAAAUUGAUAUGCCAACUGUAGUGAGCAGAGAGCCAACCACCAUCACAGGAGUUCAACAGAUCAAGGGGAAGACUCCCCUUUCAACAGUCCCACCAAAACCACCUAAGCAGCAAAAGAUUGUCAAGUUUGCUAGGGGCACAAAGGGGAACAGGCCACAGGAGGGGUGCCAAGUUCUGCUAGGUUGCUGCCAACUCUGA